Long non-coding RNA from Drosophila obscura, 157 nucleotides. RefSeq lists it as uncharacterized. The record is from RefSeq and is a predicted model, not a curated record. The transcript is spliced from 2 exons. Lineage: Eukaryota; Metazoa; Arthropoda; Insecta; Diptera; Drosophilidae.
UCAGUUUUCUGUGGAUCGUCUCGUCUGCUGCUGCUGCUUCUGCUGGAUGCAUCUCUGCUUGAGUUCCCGAAAUGUCUGGCCAUUUGGAAUGGAUAGCCCAUGGAAUGUGGAAGAAUAUUUAUGCUAAAUGGUUUUUCGAGUGGGUUUUUGUAUACUG